Molecule: ribosomal RNA, 253 nt
Filed under: uncultured bacterium
Lineage: Bacteria
Description: partial 16S ribosomal RNA
Rfam family: Bacterial small subunit ribosomal RNA
Source: RNAcentral
UACGUAGGUGGCAAGCGUUGUCCGGAAUUAUUGGGCGUAAAGCGCGCGCAGGCGGUCCCUUAAGUCUGAUGUGAAAGCCCACGGCUCAACCGUGGAGGGUCAUUGAAAACUGGGGGACUUGAGUACAGAAGAGGAAAGCGGAAUUCCACGUGUAGCGGUGAAAUGCGUAGAGAUGUGGAGGAACACCAGUGGCGAAGGCGACUCACUGGCCCGAUACUGACGCUGAGGCGCGAAAGCGUGGGGAGCAAACAGG